This 255-nucleotide ribosomal RNA is filed under the name uncultured bacterium. RNAcentral's name for it is "partial 16S ribosomal RNA". It matches the Rfam family "Bacterial small subunit ribosomal RNA", at positions 524 to 776 of the family's 1533-position model. The record is from RNAcentral.
UACGAGGGGGGCGAGCGUUGUUCGGAAUUAUUGGGCGUAAAGGGUGCGUAGGCGGUUUGGUAAGUCUGAUGUGAAAUCUAUGGGCUCAACUCAUAGUCUGCAUCGGAAACUGCCGGGCUUGAGUGUGGGAGAGGUGAGUGGAAUUCCUGGUGUAGCGGUGAAAUGCGUAGAUAUCAGGAGGAACACCUGUGGCGAAAGCGGCUCACUGGACCAUAACUGACGCUGAUGCACGAAAAGCUAGGGGGAGCAAACAGG